RNAcentral lists this ribosomal RNA (662 nucleotides) under uncultured euryarchaeote. Its description in RNAcentral is "bacterial SSU rRNA". It matches the Rfam family "Archaeal small subunit ribosomal RNA", at positions 94 to 762 of the family's 1478-position model. The record is from RNAcentral. Lineage: Archaea; Methanobacteriati; Methanobacteriota.
UAACACGUCGAUAAUCUGCCUUAUGGUUAGAGAUAGCCUUGGAAACUGAGGGUAAUAACUGAUAGGAGAAAAGUACUGGGAUGUUUUUUCUCUGAAACGCAAGGCCAUAAGAUGAGUCGGCGGCUGAUUAGGUUGUUGGUGAGGUAAUGGCUCACCAAGCCGAAGAUCAGUAGGGGAGAUGAGAGUCUUAGCCUCGAGAAGGGCACUGAGAUAAGGGCCCUAGCCUUACGGGGUGCAGCAGUCGGGAAACCUUUACACUGCACGAAAGUGUGAUAAGGGGAUUCUAAGUGCUUACUUUCGAGUAGGCUUUUGUUGAGUUUAAAAAACUCGACGAAUAAGUGGUGGGUAAGACCGGUGCCAGCCGCCGCGGUAACACCGGCGCCACGAGUGGGGAUCAGAUUUAUUUGGUCUAAAGCAUCUGUAGCCGAUUUUGUAAAUCCCUUGUGAAAUUGAUGGGCUAAACCUAUCAGCGGGCAAGGGACACUGCCAAGUUAGGGACCGGGAGGAGGCAGAAGUACGCUUUGGGGAGCGGUAAAAUGCGAUAAUCCUUAGCGGACUACCUGUGGCGAAGGCGUCUGCCUAGAACGGGUCUGACGGUGAGAGAUGAAAGCCAGGGGCGCAAAAGGGAUUAGAUACCCCUGUAGUCCUGGCUGUAAACGCUG